GAGGAACGCUGGCGGCGGGCCUAAUACAUACAAGUCGAGCGAACAGACGAGUAGCUUGCUCCUCUGACGUUAGCGGCGGACGGGUGAGUAACACGUGGAUAACCUACCUAUAAGACUUGGAUCACUGCGUGAAACCGGAGCUAAUACCGGAUAAUAUAUUGAACGGCAUGGUUGAAUAGUGAAAGACGGUUUUGCUGUCACUUAUAGAUGGAUCCGCGCCGCAUUACCUAGGUGGUAAGGUAACGGCUUACCAAGGCAACGAUGCGUAGCCGACCUGGGAUGGUCUUCAGCCACCCUGUAACUGAGACACGGCCCAGACGCCUAAGGGAGGCAGCCGUAGUGUAUCGUGCCCAAUGGGGGCAGGAGUGACGGAGCAACCCCGCGCGAUUGAUGAGGGUCUUCGGAUCGCAAUACACUGUUAUUAGGGAACAACACCUGUGUAAGUAACUAUGAACGUCUUGCCGGCACCCUGCGAGAAAGCCACGGCUAACUUCGUG
RNAcentral lists this ribosomal RNA (497 nucleotides) under uncultured bacterium. RNAcentral describes it as "partial 16S ribosomal RNA". It matches the Rfam family "Bacterial small subunit ribosomal RNA", at positions 28 to 507 of the family's 1533-position model. The record is from RNAcentral.